GGGAAAUCGAAUUUAGCUACACUGAGCACAGCUGUUCAACGGAGGAAUCGGCAGAUGGACAUGACGGAGACAAGAACCGUGUGUAGUCUCUGAAACAGGAGAAGUGGUAUCGUGCCUCACCAGCCACUAGGUCCCUGUCACGAAUGUGUAGAAGCAGACUCUCAUCCUGUCUUUCUUCAGCAGCAAGAAGUAACUUCCCUGCAUGUUCACUGCAGCUAGAUGGGCAAAUGACUCCCUCCUGUGAUGGAAUCAAGUGGAUUCAGCGUUCAAGAUUCAGAUUUGAAGUUCAAGAUCCACAUUUACAGUUUCACACUGCAUGUUUGAUACCAACCUUCUGUUCCAUUUUCCUUUUGAAUUAAAGCUUCCUUUUCUCUUCUC
This is a long non-coding RNA of Epinephelus moara (kelp grouper), 378 nucleotides long. RefSeq lists it as uncharacterized. The record is from RefSeq and is a predicted model, not a curated record. The transcript is spliced from 4 exons. Lineage: Eukaryota; Metazoa; Chordata; Actinopteri; Perciformes; Serranidae.